GGUCUCGUAGCUCAGUUGGUUAGAGCGCAUGCUUCACAUGCAUGAGGUCGAAGGUUCGAGCCCUUUCGAGACCACCA
Molecule: transfer RNA, 77 nt
Filed under: Bacillota bacterium
Lineage: Bacteria; Bacillati; Bacillota
Also listed under: 4 other names
Description: tRNA-Val
Rfam family: tRNA
About the family: Transfer RNA (tRNA) molecules are approximately 80 nucleotides in length. Their secondary structure includes four short double-helical elements and three loops (D, anti-codon, and T loops).
Source: RNAcentral